This 623-nucleotide long non-coding RNA is filed under the name Struthio camelus australis. RNAcentral's name for it is "lncRNA (ENSSCUG00000016073.1)". Lineage: Eukaryota; Metazoa; Chordata; Aves; Struthioniformes; Struthionidae. The record is from RNAcentral.
AUGAGAAUCGUUUGUAACAAAUGCAAAGGUGGGUCUUACCACCAAGCUGUUGGAUAGGAUCCUUGUGAUUUGCCCUGACAUUAUAGCUCUUAGGAUAACUACGCAUGCCUGCCCUAAGACAUUCAUGUGCUGCUUCUUGAUGUUUCAUGUUAGGUUCACUGUAAUUGAAAAGCAGCAGUGUCUAUCAUGAGAGCUGCACACACAUUUUUAGUGCCCUUCAGUAAUCUUUUCUGUUGUUGCAGGAUCCUUGGAGAGUUUAAGGCAUGGAGCUUCCUGUUUUGCAGAGUGUGUAGGACACAGUGCAGUGUACUUCCCCAAAGGAGCUAGAUACAGCUACAGGUAUUCAGCAGUCACCACCACAUUCCUGCAGGGAAGCAUUUACAAAAGCAGUGGCAUCUCUCUGGAGAGCACAGUGACCAUUGAGGCACUGGGGAGGUGCCAGAUGGUUUUGAAAGUGCAAGAUGUACAAAUAAAGAAAAUUCUUGCAUCCAGAGAGAAGUCUCUGAAGGAAAUGGACAGUCUAAGGUAGAAAAACUUCUAAUCUGGCUUAGUUCUUGGUUUUUUUUGAAGCUAUAUUGUUUAGCAGCACUUUCGUACCAUUGACUGUAUGUUUUGUACUCUGC